UCCAAUUAAUGAUGAUGGGAAAGAAGAAAAUUCAUGGAAACUUCUAUGAAAUUACAAAACUCUCCAACCUCUCUCUUUCUCUUCCCUGCUAAGCAAAUUACGUCAUUUUUUUUAUAUUAUUAUUUCUAUAAUAAUUAUCCCCAUAUCUCAUAAAGUUCUUCAGAAGGUGGAUCAUUCUCUCUCAUCAUUUCACCAAGACAAGAAGCUCUUCGUCUUUGCCCUAAUUUUAAUCAUUGAUUUAGGGUUUGGUUGGAUUCAAUGGGACAACAGCAAUCCAAGGACGAGUUGCUUCAUCAGCAAGUCGUUUAUGGCAACGUUGAAGGGAUCAAGCACUUUCCAGAGAAGGCGCGGGCCUUGAGGUAUUGCUGAAAUUAUUGCCUCUUUGUUUGGUCACUGAGAUGGCUUUGGAAAAUGAUGGAAAAUCUUUUGUGUUGUGUUUUAAGCCCAGUUGAUUGUAGGGUGUUUUCCCCGCUAGUUUUUGGUUUGCUUCUCGGCAACCAUUGUGGUUGAUUGAGUCUAUUUCGAUGGGGUUAAGGGCUUGUUUGGGUUUUUUCUCAACGACCAGACUGGUUCCGGUUCCAGGAUUAUAUAAAGAUGUUUUCUGUUUCCUAUUUUCUGUUCUAGAAACGUAAAAUGACUUCUGAAAAACGUGCUUUUGGGAAACCAAACAAAACAGGUCAUGGGUUUCUAACUAUGAUGGUUUUGGUGCAGUGGACCGACAGAGAAGGAAAGACUCCAUUGAUUGUGGCGUGCAUGUUUUCUAAACUUUUUAAUAUGUAUUUGUGUGAGAAUGACAGGUACAAAAUUUUUUUAAGAUAUACUAUCACAUAAUCAUCCUUUCUAAAAAACGAGAGAGGAAAAAAAAAAGAAUGAUU
RNAcentral lists this long non-coding RNA (875 nucleotides) under Vitis vinifera (wine grape). RNAcentral's name for it is "long non-coding RNA (VVIN_LNC004234)". Lineage: Eukaryota; Viridiplantae; Streptophyta; Magnoliopsida; Vitales; Vitaceae. The record is from RNAcentral.